This 426-nucleotide ribosomal RNA is filed under the name uncultured cyanobacterium. RNAcentral's name for it is "bacterial SSU rRNA". It matches the Rfam family "Bacterial small subunit ribosomal RNA", at positions 1074 to 1502 of the family's 1533-position model. The record is from RNAcentral. Lineage: Bacteria; Bacillati; Cyanobacteriota.
UUGGGUUAGUCCCGCAACGAGCGCACCCACGUUUUUAGUUGCCAUCAUUCAGUUGGGCACUCUAGAGAGACUGCCGGUGACAAACCGGAGGAAGGUGUGGAUGACGUCAAGUCAGCAUGCCCCUUACGUUCUGGGCUACACACGUACUACAAUGCUUCGGACAAAGGGCAGCAAGUUCGCGAGGACAAGCUAAUCCCAUAAACCGAGGCUCAGUUCAGAUUGCAGGCUGCAACUCGCCUGCAUGAAGGCGGAAUCGCUAGUAAUCGCAGGUCAGCAUACUGCGGUGAAUACGUUCCCGGGCCUUGUACACACCGCCCGUCACACCAUGGGAGUUGGCCACGCCCGAAGUCGUUACUCCAACCCGCGAGGGAGGAGGAUGCCGAAGGCAGGGCUGAUGACUGGGGUGAAGUCGUAACAAGGUAACCA